Non-coding RNA from Erinaceus europaeus (western European hedgehog), 133 nucleotides. Lineage: Eukaryota; Metazoa; Chordata; Mammalia; Eulipotyphla; Erinaceidae. The record is from Rfam.
CAAAAGGGUUUCUGUCGUGAGUGACACAUGCAGGGGAGCCCGUUUGCUCUGUGUGUGAAACCGACAUGGAGAGAUUUCGGAAGCAGAAUUUUUGUUGUUUGGGCAGCUGGUAAUUGUUGGUCCCCAUGCCCUU